UAUGCCUCAGAUGCACAUUGUUUAAACAGAGUAUAUGUGUAAUCACAGUGGCUGAAUGUCCUUUUUGAGAUCCUGCAGCUGUUGACCCUGAGUGGGAGAAUGCCUUAUCCAGGUGUAGUCUUGUGCACACCUUUCCAGACCCAUAGCAGUGGUUUGGUUGCAGAGCUGUGAUUAUAUGGAAAUUCUCCACACUUGGUAUACAGCAGUUCAGACAUGCAGCCCCAUUGGAAUGUGCUGAUAGAGAUAUACUUUUAAUUAUUCGGCUUCAUUAUAUUAUGAUUGGAUUUGA
Molecule: long non-coding RNA, 289 nt
Organism: Pseudophryne corroboree (corroboree frog)
Lineage: Eukaryota; Metazoa; Chordata; Amphibia; Anura; Myobatrachidae
Exons: 3
Source: RefSeq, a predicted model, not a curated record